RNAcentral lists this ribosomal RNA (110 nucleotides) under Theropithecus gelada (gelada). Lineage: Eukaryota; Metazoa; Chordata; Mammalia; Primates; Cercopithecidae. The record is from RNAcentral.
GUCUACAGCCAUACCACCCUAAACAUGCCUGAUAUCGCCAGCCUAAGCAGGGUCCAGCCUGGUUAGUACUUGGAUGGGAGGCCGCCUGGGAAUACCGGGCGCUGUAGGCU